This is a non-coding RNA of Manis javanica (Malayan pangolin), 2173 nucleotides long. The record is from RefSeq and is a predicted model, not a curated record. Lineage: Eukaryota; Metazoa; Chordata; Mammalia; Pholidota; Manidae.
GUUCCCCCGCCCCUUGUAGGGAUCCCACUGGAUCCUGGGCUCCCUGGGCAACUUGCUGGUGGACGGCGGGAACCCUCUAAGCGCGCCGAGAGGGGUCAGACGCCCUCCUGGGGGAGGUCAGACUCCGGGGUCUCCGAGAGGUUAGUCCAGCUGGUGGGGCUCUGGCUUCAGCACCCCCAUUUGUACAAAGAGGGAGGGUUCACCAGGUUGAGGUCGCCGUAGCGCAGGGCUCCCUGGGCCCUCUCGGAGCCAGGGUUGGGGUGGACAAGUUGACCUUGACACAUUGUUGGGACCCAAGCUCUGUGGCCUCAGGCUCACGUCAGCACUGUGUUUGCUGGGAGACAUACUCACCUGGGAGAGAGGCCCAGAGGUAGGCCGGGUUGGAACAGAGGGGGCCUAUUGAUCAACUGGGGCUCCUCCCCAGUUUAGCCCAGCCACCCACUCUUCAUACCAGAGGUAAGUCCCACUGGAUGAGCUUUUGGGAUUCAGCCAAACCAGGUGAACUCGUUUUCUAAGUUGGCAGCUUUGUGUAUGUUGCUUCUGUGAGCAGAGCGUGGCCAGCCAUUCUCAGGUCGUCUGCAGGAGUAGAUGGGGCCUGAUUAGUAGGUAAUGGCUACUUCUGUCAGGGGGUGAGGCAGGGAAUGCACCCUGACCUCAGAAGGGGUGCUCUCCUUCACUUCAACCUCGAAGGCAGGGGAUGUCGGGGACACGUGGGACUGAGCCAGGAAGACCCAGCAGGCCCCAUGCAGAUGCCUGGACCCUGAAUCCUAGGCUCCUGGCUGCUUUGAUGCUAUGCACAUGUUUCGGGCAGGGCCUGCAUCCCUGUGUGGCCGAGAUGCCUGUGCCAGAGAGGCCUGGCCAGAAACCUGAACCCCUACCUGCCACAGCCACUCAGCCCUGCUCAGGGCCUGUCUCCUCUGCCAGCUGUGCCCUCACCCCUGGGCUGGUGCUUCAGCCCAGGAGCCUUGAGGGAGGGGGUUCUGCUAGAGCAGGCAGGAGCCCACCUGAUGUGUCCCUCGCACCCACCCUUUGGCUUUGCAGGCACGGCUGCCAUACAGUUAUCGCCAGCAGAAGCCUUCCAAGAGUUUCAGUGGCUGCCAGGAAGCUGGCCUCUGCCACUGGCCAGCGGUGCCUCCCUUUAUCUAUGGACGUUUGAGUUCCAGCAGCCAUCACAGCUGCCGUGGACCAGGGACUAAAGGAGUUUGGGAAAAUUGACAUCCUCGUUAACUGUGUGGCUGGACACUUCCUGUGCCCUGCUAGCGUGUUGUCCUUCAAUGCCUUCAAGACUGUGAUGGACAUCGAUGCCUUGGGACUCGGGUGCUUUACGAGGUUCUUCCGGGUGCGUGUCCUCUGGGCCGGGCUGCCCCUCCUCUCGUGCCGGCUCAUCGCCUGCUUUGUGUAUUGCAGGACCACGGAGGGGUGAUGGUGAGCAUCACCGUGACCCUGGGUACCCGGGGGCGGGUGCUCCAAGUGCACACAGGCUCUGCCAAGGCGGCCGUGGGUACGGGCACCCCUCUGGUCUGCUGCCUGGGUUCCUGUCAAGUCCCCCCCUGUCUGUCCCGGGAGGCCUGCAGUACCCGUGUGAUGCUCAGUCCAGCGAUGGGCAGUGGAGAGGCCCGGCCCCAGCCCUGAGCCCCCACUUGCACCCAGCGCCCCCAGGAGGCAGAGCAGCCCUGCUUCUCCCUCAUGCCUCCCUUCCUUCCGUGCAGAUGCCAUGACGAGGCACUUGGCUGUGGAGUGGGGUCCGGUGUGAACAGCCUUGCUCCAGGCCCCAUCAGUGGCACAGAGGGGUUCCGGCGGCUAGGUAAGGCUGUCGGGGAGCCCAGGCCCCCCACAGGUGCUCCCUGGGGCCCAAGCCUGGGAUAAGUGCUGAGUCGUCAUGGCUCCCUGGGGCUGGCAGAGUGUCCCCACGCCAAGUCAGGGCCAAUCCUGGUCAGUGCACAUCCGUGAGGGACUAUGGGCAGCUGCUCCCUGGAGGUAGAGGCCACAGGGCCACGGCCCUUGAUGUGAGCCAGGCACACGGUGAGGCACCCCCUGAAGCUUCUAGAACCUUGGCAGGGCGUACAUCAGAAAGUCCUGUGCUGGCUCUGUGGUGGUGCUGCCCUGUGGCUGGCCCGCACCUGCUCCCCCAGGAUGCUGCUCAUGGCCCCAACAUUCCCGGAUGUAGCUGGGA